GGAAGAGAGAGAGGAAGGGACCUUUUGACAGACGAACGAAAGCAUUGCAUUGGAGAAGAUAGUGAAUACGGCGGAUUUGAAGACGGCGAGAUUCAAGGGUAUCAACCAUUGAAGACCAAACUCUCCUAAUUCUUUGUAAUGUCUAAUCUUUACUUUAUGAGCUCUUUAAGUAAUAUGAGAGGCUAAACCCCCUGAUGCUAGGGGGUGGUCCUGAUGUUAUCGCAUGUUAUGAAUUUGAACUAAUGAUUUCUUGAUUACUAUGUUACGUAUUUCAAUUCAAUUGUGUGAUUUUAUU
RNAcentral lists this long non-coding RNA (295 nucleotides) under Lathyrus oleraceus (garden pea). Its description in RNAcentral is "Pisum sativum (pea) long non-coding RNA (PSAT_LNC012716)". Lineage: Eukaryota; Viridiplantae; Streptophyta; Magnoliopsida; Fabales; Fabaceae. The record is from RNAcentral.